This 468-nucleotide ribosomal RNA is filed under the name uncultured bacterium. RNAcentral describes it as "partial 16S ribosomal RNA". It matches the Rfam family "Bacterial small subunit ribosomal RNA", at positions 28 to 507 of the family's 1533-position model. The record is from RNAcentral.
GACGAACGCUGGCGGCGUGCUUAACACAUGCAAGUCGAACGGAAAGGCCCUGCUUUUGUGGGGUGCUCGAGUGGCGAACGGGUGAGUAACACGUGAGUAACCUGCCCUUGACUUUGGGAUAACUUCAGGAAACUGGGGCUAAUACCGGAUAGGAGCUCCUGCUGCAUGGUGGGGGUUGGAAAGUUUCGGCGGUUGGGGAUGGACUCGCGGCUUAUCAGCUUGUUGGUGGGGUAGUGGCUUACCAAGGCUUUGACGGGUAGCCGGCCUGAGAGGGUGACCGGCCACAUUGGGACUGCGAUACGGCCCAGACUCCUACGGGAGGCAGCAGUGGGGAAUAUUGCACAAUGGGCGGAAGCCUGAUGCAGCAACGCCGCGUGCGGGAUGACGGCCUUCGGGUUGUAAACCGCUUUCGCCUGUGUCGAAGCGGGAUUGACGGUAAUGGGUAAAGAAGCACCGGCUAACUACGUG